AGUGAACGCUGGCGGUAGGCCUAACACAUGCAAGUCGAACGGCAGCACAGUAAGAGCUUGCUCUUACGGGUGGCGAGUGGCGGACGGGUGAGGAAUACAUCGGAAUCUACUUUUUCGUGGGGGAUAACGUAGGGAAACUUACGCUAAUACCGCAUACGACCUACGGGUGAAAGCAGGGGAUCUUCGGACCUUGCGCGAUUGAAUGAGCCGAUGUCGGAUUAGCUAGUUGGCGGGGUAAAGGCCCACCAAGGCGACGAUCCGUAGCUGGUCUGAGAGGAUGAUCACCCACACUGGAACUGAGGCACGGUCCAGACUCCUACGGGAGGCAGCAGUGGGGAAUAUUGGACAAAGGGCGCAAGCCUGAUCCAGCCAUACCGCGUGGGUGAAGAAGGCCUUCGGGUUGUAAAGCCCUUUUGUUGGGAAAGAAAAGCAGCAGGUUAAUACCCCGCUGUUCUGACGGUACCCAAAGAAUAAGCACCGGCUAACUUCGUG
This 492-nucleotide ribosomal RNA is filed under the name uncultured bacterium. RNAcentral's name for it is "partial 16S ribosomal RNA". It matches the Rfam family "Bacterial small subunit ribosomal RNA", at positions 29 to 507 of the family's 1533-position model. The record is from RNAcentral.